UAUAACCAAUACUUCAUCAGACUUCCAGCUCUUCCCCUAUUUCCCAUUCGUUUCUUGCUGAGCAAUGUAUCUCAUCUUUAUCUAAUGUAUCUCAUGGAUUCACUCUAUCAGUUUCUUAAACCCCUUUUUUAGCAUCUUUUCCUCGUCUAGACCCCACGGCUCAUUGUUGGAGUCACCGUUUAGCAACAGCAUCCACAAGUCUCUUCUAUCCCUGAACUUCCCCAUGCAGAUAACUACUGAUGGCUGGUAUCUGUUUGCUGAGGGUCUAAUAAAUGCUUCCUGGAUCUGUUCUUUGGAGCUGACCAAUUCAAUACAACGAAUUCUGUGAAAUGUGAUACCAAGAAGUCGAAUUUGCUAAGGGAAGUGCUGUCACCUCGCUUGGCUGGAGAGUCAAGCUACAGUUCUACAGUUGUCAGAGGUGAAGGAUGCUGGACAACUAACACAUCAUUUGAAGGGCAACUGAGGUGGUGGUUCUUGAAGCAAUGGUCAAACAAACAGGGAGAUGGAAGACAUUACAGAAAACCACAACUAAUCAAAAUGCAGAGGCAUGGAACCCAGUUCCAACAGACGCAUCUAUAAAACAUAUCCACACUGACGGCUCAGGGAGCAUUGCAGAGGAGGGGCAGAAAGUUGAUAUAAGCUGCUGCCCUGCUAGGGCCCAACUACUUGCUGAGUGCCCAGAUAUAACCACAUAAGUGGUGGAAUCCUGUGGCCAGGACAUCUGCCGGAGUGAUAAAAAAUUUGUUGUUAAGAGAAAAAGAACUCAGCAAUCCUGUACACUGUGGAAACAGCCUCAAGACCUAAGGAGAAAUAAUGACAUUUAUCAUCUAAACAAAAAUUGUGGAUCUGUGUUAUCAGUGAAUACACAGCAAGAAAUAUUAAAACAAGUUCUUCUGAGGGAAAGGAAGAGAUACAGGUGGGGAACUCUGACCCCCCCAAAAGAAAGAGUAUCAAGGGGAAACAAGUGGGAAUAAAACCAAGUUUUUAUUACUUUCAUUCUUAAUGGCCUAUAACUUACAAUAGUUUGUUAAAAUGAUAAUAGCAACCAUGUAAUUGAUUAUAUAUGAUUGCAUGAUUAUACUUAUAGCACUUACCUAAGCAGAUAGGUAAGUGAAAGAGAAUGGUAUCAAUGAUAUAAUGGAUGGGAACUAGGAAUACAUCAUUAUAAAGUAUUUGUGCUAUGGCAGCUAUGUAAUAUUAUUUGAAAGUGGCGUGGUUAGUUAUAAGUCCAUAUUACAACCUUUACAAAGUGCAAAAAGAAGACUAACUGUUCUACUAAGAUAGAAAAUGGUGUAAAAUUAAAUGCUCAAUUUAAACCUCAACAAGCAGAAAAGGAAUAGACAACAAAGUGAGAGCAAAGAACUAGGUCCAUGAAUGAAAUAUGUCAGUAGGCAGGAAAGUCUUAAUCUAGAUGGAUUGACAAUCCCUUACCCUUCUGUAGUUUGAAAAAUGUCAAUUAAAAGAUACGUGCCAGAGUGGAGAAACAGCCACACUGUCUGCUGUCUGUAGAGACUCCAUCUGAUAUACAAAGACACAUAUAAGGUAAAAAUAAAAAGAUGGAGAAAGAUUUCAAAAUAAAUCACAUUAGCAACAGAUCUUCCACAAGAGUAGAUGUCAAAACAAGGAACCUUAUUACACACUGGAAGGAUCAGAAUUCCGAGAGGACUUGGUGGCUGCACCCACAUUAGCACUUGUUCUUUCUCUUUUGGGUUAGUUGUGUGGCUUUGGAUAAGGCUGGUGAACUUUUGAGGCUCAGUUUAUUAAUUUGUACAGUGGUCAAGCCUUACCCACAGUAUCGGGUACUGGUUGUAGGGGAAAGUUUGUAUUUACACGUAGCAGAUGUUUAAAGGGUCGGGUUCAUUUUUGGAGUUCUCACAUACUUUUUAGUUUUUCUCUAAGUCAAAGAAUAAAAGUUUCUGGCAGAGCGAGGCCAAGUAAAUGAUGCAGUUUAGCAAUGCCUUCCACUGUGAGAAUCUUUCCAUGUUGUGAGGUAAGUGUAUCAGGGAAAACUCAAGGACCAUAGGAAUACUUUCAACUACCAGAAAUCUCUCAAUCUAGCUAGAGCAGUUAACUAAAUCGAUAUUAACAAGGAAAUCAAGUGAUUCCCAAGGCAAUGGUAGAGUAAGUAUUUUUUUAAUCCCAGCUAGUCAUUCUAAUUACUUUAGGUAUUCCAGCCAUCUUUCAACCAUGUACAUUAUUAAAAGAUAAAUAAAUAUAUUUGGUCUUGGAGAAUCCAAAAGUAACGAGUGAAGGAUUUAUCUGAUCAACUUGU
Molecule: RNA transcript, 2272 nt
Organism: Alexandromys fortis (reed vole)
Lineage: Eukaryota; Metazoa; Chordata; Mammalia; Rodentia; Cricetidae
Gene name: 40S ribosomal protein S2-like
Exons: 4
Source: RefSeq, a predicted model, not a curated record